CCUACGGGAGGCAGCAGUCGAGAAUCAUUCACAAUGGGGGCAACCCUGAUGGUGCGACGACGCGUGGGGGAAUGAAGGUCUUCGGAUUGUAAACACCUGUCAUGUGGGGGCAAAUUAAAAAGAUAGUACCACAAGAGGAAGAGACGGCUAACUCUAUGCCAGCAGCCGCGGUACUACAGAGGUAUCACGCGUUGUUCGAAAUCACUGGGCGUAAAGCGUGCGUAGGCUGUUUCGUAAGUCGUGUGUGAAAGGCGCGGGCUCAACCCGCGGACGGCACAUGAUACUGCGAGACUAGAGUAAUGGAGGGGGAACCGGAAUUCUCGGUGUAGCAGUGAAAUGCGUAGAUAUCGAGAGGAACACUCGUGGCGAAGGCGGGUUCCUGGACAUUAACUGACGCUGAGGCACGAAGGCCAGGGGAGCGAAAGGGAUUAGAUACCCCAGUAGUC
RNAcentral lists this ribosomal RNA (446 nucleotides) under uncultured bacterium. RNAcentral describes it as "partial 16S ribosomal RNA". It matches the Rfam family "Bacterial small subunit ribosomal RNA", at positions 338 to 795 of the family's 1533-position model. The record is from RNAcentral.